GUCUUGAAUUGACGCGUGAUGGCCGUUUGGUGGAGAUUGCUCCUCGUCAUCUUAGCCGCAAUUGAGCGUACCGGUUGCCGAAACUUAUUUCCAACCGAGCCAGAAUACAUUGCCCUGGGGUACUUCAAAAAGUCUCAAAAACUGCUGGACACACUUAUCAAUCAUGACUACCAGGACACGGUGCAGGAAAUUGCAAGAGCUAAUCGAGAUUAUCAGGAUACGAUACAGGAACUUGCAAGAGCUAAUCGAGAUUAUCCGGAUCUUGCCCGGGGGUUUAACAGAAAAGUCUCGAAGGUGUUAGAUGAAGAAAUUAGCCAAGAUUACGAACACGGCAUGGAUUCAUUCAGUCCCAUGAUAGGGAAGCGGCGCGUGCGCUCUCAAAAGAUGCGCCGCGAAAAGCUAAACCUUCAGGGUGUGCGAAGCCACCGUGCGCAUUCUCUUGACGCGGGACGUCGUCGGAGACUACAGCCCGAACGCCCCGAACCAACUUCAAACGGAUAUUAGGUUAUUCUUUUAGGUCUUAAGAGCAUGUUUUAUAAAAAUUAAUACAUUUUAAUACAUGAAUAC
Molecule: long non-coding RNA, 567 nt
Organism: Cydia splendana
Lineage: Eukaryota; Metazoa; Arthropoda; Insecta; Lepidoptera; Tortricidae
Exons: 3
Source: RefSeq, a predicted model, not a curated record